GAUGAACGCUGGCGGCGUGCUUAACACAUGCAAGUCGAACGGAAAGGCUCCUGCUUGCAGGGGUACUCGAGUGGCGAACGGGUGAGUAACACGUGGGUGAUCUGCCCUGCACUUCGGGAUAAGCCUGGGAAACUGGGUCUAAUACCGGAUAGGACCACAUUUUGGAUGGUGUGGUGGAAAGUUUUUCGGUGUGGGAUGAGCUCGCGGCCUAUCAGCUUGUUGGUGGGGUAAUGGCCUACCAAGGCGUCGACGGGUAGCCGGCCUGAGAGGGUGUACGGCGACAUUGGGACUGAGAUACGGCCCAGACUCCUACGGGAGGCAGCAGUGGGGAAUAUUGCACAAUGGGCGCAAGCCUGAUGCAGCGACGCCGCGUGGGGGAUGACGGCCUUCGGGGUGUAAACUCCUUUCGCUAGGGACGAAGCGCAAGUGACGGUACCUGGAGAAGAAGCACCGGCUAACUACGUG
This 465-nucleotide ribosomal RNA is filed under the name uncultured bacterium. Its description in RNAcentral is "partial 16S ribosomal RNA". It matches the Rfam family "Bacterial small subunit ribosomal RNA", at positions 28 to 507 of the family's 1533-position model. The record is from RNAcentral.